UACGGAGGAUGCAAGCGUUAUCCGGAAUGAUUGGGCGUAAAGGGUCCGCAGGUGGCAAUGUAAGUCUGCUGUCAAAGAAUGAGGCUUAACCUCAUCAAGGCAGUGGAAACUACAUAGCUAGAGUACGGUCGGGGUAGAAGGAAUUCCUGGUGUAGCGGUGAAAUGCGUAGAGAUCAGGAAGAACACCGGUGGCGAAAGCGCUCUGCUAGGCCGUAACUGACACUGAGGGACGAAAGCUAGGGGAGCGAAUGGG
This 253-nucleotide ribosomal RNA is filed under the name uncultured bacterium. Its description in RNAcentral is "partial 16S ribosomal RNA". It matches the Rfam family "Bacterial small subunit ribosomal RNA", at positions 524 to 776 of the family's 1533-position model. The record is from RNAcentral.